Molecule: ribosomal RNA, 408 nt
Filed under: Metacrangonyx longipes
Lineage: Eukaryota; Metazoa; Arthropoda; Malacostraca; Amphipoda; Metacrangonyctidae
Description: partial 16S ribosomal RNA
Source: RNAcentral
UAGCAUAAUAAAUUGUUUUUUAAUUGAAAACUGGAAUGAAAGGUAGAACUAUUUAUGAAUUUGUUUAUUUUAAUUUAUGAAUUUUUAUUGUAAGUAAAAAUACUUAUAUAAAAUAAAGGGACGAUAAGACCCUAGAAGCUUAAGUUUGUAAGAAUGUAUAAUAGUUAUUUUUAAAGUUUACAUUCUAUAAAAUUUUGAUUGGGGAAAUAAAAAUUUUACUAAUAAUUUUUUUUUUAGAAAAAUAGUUAUUCAAGGAUCUUUUAAAUAAAAAAGUGGAAAAGUUACUCUAGGGAUAACAGCGUAAUAAUUUUGGAUAGACCUUAUAUAUAAGAUUGAUUACGACCUCGAUGUUGAAUUAAAAUAUCUUUAUAAAGUAGAAAUUAUAAUAGAAGGUUUGUUCAACCUUUA